Molecule: long non-coding RNA, 711 nt
Organism: Armigeres subalbatus
Lineage: Eukaryota; Metazoa; Arthropoda; Insecta; Diptera; Culicidae
Exons: 3
Source: RefSeq, a predicted model, not a curated record
AUUAGGGAUGAAGAACUAAUUGACGCCCGUGAGAAGCCCCGGAGCUUCUGAAAUCGGUCGAUGAUAAUCGCAACUGGAAUCGUGAAUGUAUUUUGUUUUAGUGGAAACAGCUCCAUAUUUUAACGAGAUAAGGUGAUCCGCAAUUCGUCCGUCAUGGAACCGGAACCGGACCGGACAAGUUAUCUCACGAGAACCCUCUCAUCAUCGUCUGUCUACAUGUAUGCAUGACACUCUGAUUUCCGGAGGACGCAACCGGAACGAACGAAAUGGGGAAGAUUUUGACAGUCUUACACGACCAGCGCUAACCACGGUUGUCGGUCACACCGUGGUCGACUAUUGCAGUGCGAAUGGCAAUACUAAGUACUUCACGGUAUUCGUAAUGUAUCACAGAAAAAGUUUAAAGAAUAAAUAAAACAUUUUGUACAAUUAAAUCAUCGUGCAUUAAUUGCCAAAAAUUGUCGACAAGAAAUUUCCAUCCAGAAAAAUACUACAUAUAAUGCAGUUGAAUUUACUACUCAAUUGUUAUUUUGAAUGCAACAAAUGGUAAACUUAUUAACUUUGUAAUUCGGUAGAAAUAACCAUGCUCCACAGUAAUUUUGACAUUUGUUUGUAUAUUAUGCAGCCAUGGUAAAAAACACUACACAUUUCGUUUGAAAUAAAUGCGGUAUGUAGUCUGCACAAAUCAAUUGGUGUUGUGCAUUUAAAUUAAAC